UACGUAGGUGGCAAGCGUUGUCCGGAUUUAUUGGGUUUAAAGGGCGCGUAGGCGGCCUCGCAAGUCCCGUGUGAAAUCCCUCGGCUCAACUGAGGAUCGUCGAUCGAUACUGCCGUUCUUGAGGAUUGCAGAGGAGACUGGAAUUCCCGGUGUAGCGGUGAAAUGCGUAGAUAUCGGAAGGAACAUCAGUGGCGAAAGCGACUUCCUGGACCAGUACCGACGUUCAGGCACGAAAGCGUGGGGAGCAAACAGG
This 253-nucleotide ribosomal RNA is filed under the name uncultured bacterium. RNAcentral describes it as "partial 16S ribosomal RNA". It matches the Rfam family "Bacterial small subunit ribosomal RNA", at positions 524 to 776 of the family's 1533-position model. The record is from RNAcentral.